RNAcentral lists this ribosomal RNA (485 nucleotides) under uncultured Schlesneria sp. Its description in RNAcentral is "bacterial SSU rRNA". It matches the Rfam family "Bacterial small subunit ribosomal RNA", at positions 906 to 1382 of the family's 1533-position model. Lineage: Bacteria; Pseudomonadati; Planctomycetota; Planctomycetia; Planctomycetales; Planctomycetaceae. The record is from RNAcentral.
GGAAUUGACGGGGGCCCGCACAAGCAGCGGAGCGUGUUGCUUAAUUCGAUGCAACGCGAAGAACCUUAUCCUGGGUUUGACAUGUACGGAUUAACCCUGUGAAAGCAGGGCCACGCUCGCAAGAGUGGAACGUGCACAGGUGCUGCAUGGCUGUCGUCAGCUCGUGUCGUGAGAUGUCGCGUUAAGUCGCUAAACGAGCGAAACCCCUAUCUUUAGUUGCCAGCGCGUCAUGGCGGGGACUCUAAAGAGACUGCCGGUGUCAAACCGGGGGAAGGCGGGGAUGACGUCAAGUCCUCAUGGCCUUUAUGCCCAGGGCUGCACACGUGCUACAAUGGGGCGUACAAAGCGCCGCGAAGUUGCGAAACCAAGCUAAUCGCAAAAAGCGUCCCCCAGUUCGGAUUGAAGGCUGCAAUUCGCCUUCAUGAAGCCGGAAUCGCUAGUAAUCGCCGAUCAGCAUUGCGGCGGUGAAUGUGUUCCUGAGCCUU